AUUGAACGCUGGCGGCAUGCCUUACACAUGCAAGUCGAACGGUAACAGGUUCAGCUGACGAUUGGCGAACGGGUGAGUAAUACAUCGGAACGUGCCCAGAAGUGGGGGAUAGCCCGGCGAAAGCCGGAUUAAUACCGCAUACGACCUAAGGGUGACAGGGGGGGAUCGCAAGACCUCUCGCUAUUGGAGCGGCCGAUGUCAGAUUAGCUAGUUGGUGGGGUAAAAGCUCACCAAGGCGACGAUCUGUAGCUGGUCUGAGAGGACGACCAGCCACACUGAGAUUGAGACUCGGCCCAGACUCAUACGGGAGGCAGCAGUGGGGAAUUGUGGACAAUGGGAGCAAGCCGGAUCCAGCCAUGCCGCGUGCGGGAAGAAGGCCUUCGGGUUGUAAACCGAUUCUGUCAGGGAAGAAAUCCUUUGGGUUAAUAUCGCGGGGGGAUGACGGUAGCUGAAGAAUAAGCACCGGCUAACUACGUG
RNAcentral lists this ribosomal RNA (477 nucleotides) under uncultured bacterium. RNAcentral's name for it is "partial 16S ribosomal RNA". It matches the Rfam family "Bacterial small subunit ribosomal RNA", at positions 30 to 507 of the family's 1533-position model. The record is from RNAcentral.